UAAGGAAUAUUGGUCAAUGGACGCAAGUCUGAACCAGCCAUGCCGCGUGAAGGAUGAAGGUCCUCUGGAUUGUAAACUUCUUUUAUCUGGGACGAAAACGGGAUUUUUAUCUCAAUUGACGGUACCAGAGGAAUAAGCACCGGCUAACUCCGUGCCAGCAGCCGCGGUAAUACGGAGGGUGCGAGCGUUAUCCGGAUUUACUGGGUUUAAAGGGUGCGUAGGUGGGCUUAUAAGUCAGUGGUGAAAUCUCCGAGCUUAACUUGGAAACUGCCGUUGAUACUAUAGGUCUUGAAUUAUCUGGAAGUAAGCGGAAUAUGUCAUGUAGCGGUGAAAUGCUUAGAUAUGACGUAGAACACCAAUUGCGAAGGCAGCUUACUACAUAUAAAUUGACGCUGAGGCACGAAAGCGUGGGGAUCAA
This 418-nucleotide ribosomal RNA is filed under the name uncultured bacterium. Its description in RNAcentral is "bacterial SSU rRNA". It matches the Rfam family "Bacterial small subunit ribosomal RNA", at positions 355 to 771 of the family's 1533-position model. The record is from RNAcentral.